Long non-coding RNA from Hemicordylus capensis (graceful crag lizard), 1319 nucleotides. RefSeq lists it as uncharacterized. NCBI's taxonomy places the organism in Eukaryota, Metazoa, Chordata, Lepidosauria, Squamata, Cordylidae. The record is from RefSeq and is a predicted model, not a curated record. The transcript has 3 exons.
CCUCAGUGAAGCCUGAACUCGAGUAGGCCAGCAGGCCCCAAGAAGGAAGGAAGCAGGAAGGAAGGAGGCAGCCAACCGGCCAGCGUAGCCACCUCAGUUAUCUGCAGCAGACCCUCUGCCCAGGCCAGCCAGCUCCAGGGCGUAUGAAGGGGGAAAGCAGAAGAGACCAGGAGCACUCUUCCAUACUCUGUGCGGGUACAUCCAUUGCUGCACUGCCUUUCUGGAAGAGGGCAUGGAGGAUCAAGGCGCCUGGGGAGACCUACUCCUGGAGAUGGACAGUGUGUGUGUACAUGGGGAAGGAGACAAUCUAAACCUAGAUUUCAGUUUCAUCUUGCCACAGUUGGAGCCUCGGAAGUGGGAAAUGUAUAUCUGAAGAGGAAGGCUAAACCACUUCAGAUGACAGGUGGGAACAGACAUGAAGGAAAGCCCCUCCCUAGAAAACAAGUCCUUGCACAGAGAAAAUUAACAGGUCAGGCUGAAUUACUUUCCUCUGCUAUGUGAUUUGUUUUUUGUUUGUUUGUUUGAAUUGUGGCAAAACAUUCGGUGCUGAGAGUCCCAGUCUGAAGUUGUGGAGAUGUGCCACUUGAGUGACAAUGAGGCCUGGGAGAGCAUGCAUUUGAGCUGAGGUGGAGGCCAGAGAGGUGACCAUUUUAGUCCGCUGCCAAACCCACAGCACAGAGGAGUCUUGUGAUACCUGGAAGACAAAUGCAUUUAUUGCACAACUCUCAAAUGCCUCCUCACUCUUGUACAGCAUUAUUAUUGCUGCAUUUCUGCUUUUGUAUCUUAUAAGAACAAAACCCUGCAGCCUUACACAUAGUUAAAAGGCUUCAGGCGGCAAUCCUCUGCAGAUUUUCUUGAGCGUAAGUCCUACUGAAACCAAUGGGAUUUCUUUCUGAGUAAAUUUUGAAAUGGCAUCAGUAGUGCUUCCUAACUGGGUGCUGGCUUGCAGCUGUGUUCCUGCGUCAGCUUUUAUGGUUUCAUGUUUGGUUAUAUUUAAAAGAUGGAUUGAGUAUGUUUUGUUAUAUGAGCCUAAACUACCUUGAGAGUCAGCCUGGGCCUGAAAUCCGGAUAUAUACAUUGGAAAGCAGAAACACAACACGUAAUAAUGAUUGCAGAAUUUCUGUCAUGUUCUUCAGACGAUGAAGAUAGGACACAUUUUGGCUAAACUGUAUUUGACACAAAAGAAGCAAUGAAAUAAUACCUUUAUUAGACCCACCUCUGGUGUCCCAAAUAAACGAUGGUGUACUGUAUCCCCUCCCUAAUUAAAGUAUUACCUUAAGGUGGGUUCGGGGUUGAUUCAUUGGGGCGAGAGAGAACAG